Long non-coding RNA from Ictidomys tridecemlineatus (thirteen-lined ground squirrel), 2240 nucleotides. RefSeq lists it as uncharacterized. Lineage: Eukaryota; Metazoa; Chordata; Mammalia; Rodentia; Sciuridae. The record is from RefSeq and is a predicted model, not a curated record.
CCCAACGACCAUUGUCUGCAGCGGCCACACAAAGAGGCCGGCCGUGGCCGCGCGGGGAUCCCGGCUGGCCCAGCAGACGCCCUGCGGAGAGCGCCGGACCAGCGCUGGCAGCGCAACCGGCGGACGCGUGGGGAAACUGAGGCCCAGAGGGGUGUUGAGCCCCGACGUCAGUGACCUGGAGACUCCGGGGAAGCUGGUCAGCUUUGGACGUCCCAGCCCACCCCACACACACACACUUGCACGCUGAAGGGCACCCAGUCCCUCACCCACUGUGGGACCCGCAGGCCGGCUGGGCAGCCAGAGUGGGGCUCACACUGCACCUCCAUAUUGGCCCUGACACCUCCAGAACCCUCCUCAAAGGCGCUGCUGACGACUUGGACAUUGACUUUGUGGCCCAUGGCUAUUUUUACACCAUGGGUAGUACUCUGCCCUGACUUUUAAAUUCAUGAUUUGUUUGUUUAAAAAAACGAAAGGAAGCACUCCUGCCCUGGGACAGCUUGGGCCUCCGCCGCCCGCCGUCUUGGGCGGCUGGAAUUCGGGUUUGGGUGUGAGCUACCUGCGCAGAGCCAAGCCAGCCUUCCUGAGCACGCGCACCGCCUCUGGCCUGCUGCGCCAGGCUGGCCAAGGCACCCCGCCUCCCUGGCCCUGAACCCCAGCUCACUGCUGCCAGUCCUACACCCAGCUCAGAGAGGGCACAGUGGCUUACCAAAGUCAGCCAGCUGCACAUGCAGCUGGAUCAGGGGGUUCUGGUGCAGAAGAGGGCUAUGAACACAUGUGGAUGGCCCGGAGAUAGCCACAGUCUAACAAGGGAGAGGGUCCCAGGGGCGCUACUGCCACAUGUGCCACCUCCCUUCUAAGCUUUACUGUCCUCCUCUGGGUCAUGGGACAGUAACAGGAGGACCUCUGUGUCCUUUCCUGGAAGGAGCCCCUUGUUCCACUGGGGGCAGGAGCACCGUGGGGUGCAGCUGGGAGGGUAAGCCUUGUUGGGGAGCCCAGGCCAGGUAGGCAGCGCUCCCAGUCUCUCCGGCAGACUGUUUCCAGUCUCUCUGCUGGCUUCUCCCUACCCCCGUCCCCUUGGCCACACACACACACACACACACACACACACCAUCUAGCCAGACAGCCUGCUCCCCAGGACCCUCCCUCUAGCAGUGGACUUUACCCGUGGCCCUCACCAGCCAUCAUCAUCUCCGGUGGCACAGCCCAUAGCCUACUGACCUCCUGUGGGCCUGGGAAUGGGCCCACACUUGACCAAGAGUGAAGAAGAUCUGGCCUGCACCUGAUGGGCUCUGGGUGUGUGCUGCACACCAGAACCCACACAGAGGCCUGACGUCGGGCACUCAGAGGAGGUGUAGCCACGAUGGGUGAGGCAGGGUCAGACCCUAGGUCUGGCUCUCACCAGCCACGUGACCUCUGCACCUCAGUUUCCUCAUCUAAGGAGACACAGAGGCAGAGAGGAACAAGAACUGACUUCAGGUCACACAGUGGCCCCCGUGCUGUGGUCGCAAGCCAACGGUCAGAGCCCUCGGGAGGACUCCACACAACCACCAACCUUGCACCCCAACCUCUAAAAUCUCCUGCACCACCUGCUUCUCCUCGUAUAUGGGCAGGUGAGCCAGGGCAGCCCGUGCCAGGUAAGACUGGAGUUCAGGCAGAAGGGACAGGCGACAGAACGGGAAAACAGGGUGCUGGGAGAGAUACCUGGGGAGGAGGCCAGAGUCAGGCUCUACCACCAACUGUGUCACGGCCCUUGGGCAAGCGUCCUCUCUGAACUUCAGUGGCUUCUUCGUAAAACAGGAGAAAAGAGCCAGUUAACCACAGAGGCUUUUGGACAUGAAAUGAGACUAUGACAACAGGAAACCAGAGGCCAAGGUAUCCCAGGCGUUGGGAAGAGCCCAGGCUGAGACUGCCAACUGGGGGCACCGGUUCCAGCCGCGCUUGACUUUGAGGCUGGCACCUUCUCCCUCGCUCUCUGCACCGUGCCCCUCUCCACACGCCACCCAUCAAGGGACAAGAUAAUGUGCUUUAUCGGGGGCAUUUAUUAUCGACAAUUGCUUCAUAAUUCUCCCUCUGUUCACACGCAUAUGUAUAAGAGGUGGAAGACUUCUGCGCCAACCCCCCAUGUCGUCAGCUGGCCCCCAUAAAGAUAACGGGAAAUGAUUCAUAAUAUUUAUUUGACAGACAUGAUAUGAACCGUAAUAGUCUGUUGGGAUUAAAAAUAUCCGUCCAUCUCCGUCAUC